AACGUAGGUGACAAGCGUUAUCCGGAAUUACUGGGCGUAAAGCGUGCGCAGGCGGUUUUGUAAGUCUGUCGUGAAAUCCCCGGGCUCAACCUGGGAAUUGCGAUGGAGACUGCAAGGCUAGAAUCUGGCAGAGGGGGGUAGAAUUCCACGUGUAGCAGUGAAAUGCGUAGAGAUGUGGAGGAACACCGAUGGCGAAGGCAGCCCCCUGGGUCAAGAUUGACGCUCAUGCACGAAAGCGUGGGGAGCAAACAGG
This 253-nucleotide ribosomal RNA is filed under the name uncultured bacterium. RNAcentral describes it as "partial 16S ribosomal RNA". It matches the Rfam family "Bacterial small subunit ribosomal RNA", at positions 524 to 776 of the family's 1533-position model. The record is from RNAcentral.